AUAAGCUAUUGGUCUCCAGAGAUAUGGGCCUUAAUACUCUUUCACCUAUUGGGCUUGUAUGUGAACAUAUUAUUUGGAUUAUAUUAUAACAAAAUAUCCAACAUGAACAUAUUAUUUGGAUUAUAGAUAACAGUAUAUCCAAUAACAAUAUAUCCAACAAUCUCCUCCUAUGUUCACCAUACAGCACAAUCCAAUACAGUGGUCAGUGUAAUGUUCAAACAAUUAUGAAUCUUCCACAUUCAGUCCAAGACAAUCAACUCAGAUUAAGAACUCAAUCAUCAAUUGUAAUUCAAAUGAGUGAAUCAUUCUUAUCAUGAAUCUGUUCUGAGAUCGACAUAUUUAAAAUGAUUCUCAAAAUCAGUUCACAACUAACAUAUGCAUAACAAUCAAAUAUAAGUAGGCCAGUCAAAAUAAUCCAAGGCCUUACAAAUAAAAGAGAAGACAUAAUAAUAUUCACAAAUAGAGAUAGCCAAAAGCAAGUCUUAAGUAAAUGGACUCCAUCAAAAUAGGUAAUAGUAGGUGAACUGUCAAGUCCCCGUACACUCUAAAUGAUAUAUAUAUAUAUAUUCAUUCAUCAAAUAGAUCAUCCUGAUCUGGAUCUCACUUAUUAAGCUCUCCUCCAUCCCUGCCAUCCUCUGUAGAAUAUUAAAUAUAAAUUUCAUAUUAUCAUGAAUUUAAUCAUUUGAAUAAUCCACUAAAAAUGUCUAGUUCUACUAAAAGAACUUAGCAUCAUAACAUCAGGCAGAGA
Molecule: long non-coding RNA, 748 nt
Filed under: Ananas comosus (pineapple)
Lineage: Eukaryota; Viridiplantae; Streptophyta; Magnoliopsida; Poales; Bromeliaceae
Description: long non-coding RNA (ACOM_LNC001658)
Source: RNAcentral